UUUUGGACUCAGAAUCAAUGUGGAAAUUCAUUGAUUUAGAUGAAUUUUCUUUUGAAUCAAAGUAUUUUUACAUCAAACAGUCGACACAUCUUCAUUAACUUCUGUUUGGGGAACGGGACGGCGAGAAGCUUUUCCGCGCAACAGCCAGACAGCACAGGAAUCACAAGAUCCGGCGUAGGAAAGUCUUGACAGCUUUAAGAGGGCAAACGGUAGUGGACUCCUAGGCAACCAUUCGUCCAACUAAUCCCUUUCGAUCCGGUCCAAGGAGAAUCAUGAGUUGUUCGAUGUACCGGUUCAAAACUCUAAUUAUAGGAAAAUCAAUAUUGUAAAUAUGAACUUUUUAAAUAAAUAAAAUGUAUUAAACUAUAA
Uranotaenia lowii is the source of this 369-nucleotide long non-coding RNA. RefSeq lists it as uncharacterized. The record is from RefSeq and is a predicted model, not a curated record. NCBI's taxonomy places the organism in Eukaryota, Metazoa, Arthropoda, Insecta, Diptera, Culicidae. The transcript is spliced from 3 exons.